GUGCCAGCCGCCGCGGUAAUACAGAGGUCCCAAGCGUUGUUCGGAUUCACUGGGCGUAAAGGGUGCGUAGGUGGUGAGGUAAGUCGGAUGUGAAAUCUCCAAGCUCAACUUGGAAACUGCAUUGGAAACUACCUUGCUAGAGGAUUUGAGGGGGGAUUGGAAUACUUGGUGUAGCAGUGAAAUGCGUAGAUAUCAAGUGGAACACCAGUGGCGAAGGCGAAUCCCUGGAAAAUACCUGACACUGAGGCACGAAAGCUAGGGGAGCAAACAGGAUUAGAUACCCGCGUAGUCC
RNAcentral lists this ribosomal RNA (292 nucleotides) under uncultured bacterium. Its description in RNAcentral is "partial 16S ribosomal RNA". It matches the Rfam family "Bacterial small subunit ribosomal RNA", at positions 505 to 796 of the family's 1533-position model. The record is from RNAcentral.